AGGGUGAGGGCCAGGAAUGGCAUAUGGCUGUCCGAAAUAAAGCAGGCUAUUGAGGAGAACGAUGACAUCUUUGCCGAUGUGGCAUCCAUCAGCCUACCAACAAUCACCCCGCCUUUUGAGGCGGCACCAGGACCUGAGCCCUAGGACCAUGCCUCAGGACUACCUGGCAUGAUGACUCCUUGUUGUCCCCAGUCCACCUGACCGUGCUGCUGCUCCAGUUUCAACUGUUCUGCCUGCGGCUAUGGAACCCUGACCUGUUCACUGUGAUUACUAUUAUUUGACCAUGCUGGUCAUUUAUGAACAUUUGAACAUCUUGGCCAUGUUCUGUUAUAAUCUCCACCCGGCACAGUCAGAAGAAGACUGGCCACCCUUCAUAGUCUGGUUCCUCUCUAGGUUUCUUCCUAGGUUCUGGCCUUUCUAGGGAGUUUUUCCUAGCCACCGUGCUUCUUUCACCUGCAUUGCUUGCUGUUUGGGGUUUUAGGCUGGGUUUCUGUACAGCACUUUGAUAUAUCAGCUGAUCUAAGAAGGGCUAUAUAAAUACAUUUGAUUUGAUUUGAUUUGGUUUUCCUGGUUUUAUUAAUGUUCUGAGAACGGAAAAUCAAGGUUAUUUUGAGGUUUUUGAAUAACUGAAGGGACUCUCUGAACAUCAACAACUGCCUCCCAUGAAGCAUCGUUACUUAUCGCACCCCAAAAGUCAUGGCCCUUACAGAGCAAGGAAAACAACUACUUUAAUUAAGGUCUCAGAGCGAGUGACUUCACCGAUUGAAAUGCUCUUAGUGUGCACCGCUAACUAGCUAGCCAUUUAAUACUGGUUAUACUCACGCCCCUUUGACCACCUCCUCCACAGCAACCCCAGCAGCUGGACAGAGACCAAUUGAGUGAUCUGGGGUAAACAGCAUCAAUGUAAUGGUCUUGCUUCCACCCCCCUACUUCAAGGUCUCAGAGCAAGUGACAUUAACGAUUGAAACGCUAGUAGCGCGCACUGCUAACUAGCUAGCCAUUUCACACUGGUACACUAGCUGGGUAUCAUGUCUGGGAUUGUAAUCAUAGGGAAUAAAGUCUGUAGACUAGCCUUUCCUCUUUGUUGCAGAUAACAGAGCAGCCUGGCAACAGGGACAGAUGAUCAUGCU
This 1130-nucleotide long non-coding RNA is filed under the name Salmo salar (Atlantic salmon). Its description in RNAcentral is "lncRNA (ENSSSAG00000117420.1)". The record is from RNAcentral. Lineage: Eukaryota; Metazoa; Chordata; Actinopteri; Salmoniformes; Salmonidae.